AACUUUUGGCAAUGGAUCACUUGGCUCUCGCAUCGAUGAAGAACGCAGCGAAAUGCGAUAAGUAAUGGGAAUUGCAGAAUUCAGUGAAUCAUCGAAUCUUUGAACGCACCUUUCGCCUCUUGGUAUUCCGAGGGGCACGCCUGUUUGUGUAUCGUGAAAUUCUCAACCCGACUCCUGGUGUGAAAGGGGAGGAGGGCUUGGAAUUUGGAGGACUUUUGCCGGUCCCUUUGUUUGGGAUCGGCUCCUCUCGAAUGCAUUAGUGGAGCUUGCUCGACCUCUGCCCUCGGUGCGAUACUUCAUCGCCGCCGUGCGAGGGAGGAAAGGCGACGCUUCCAACGGUCUCGUCAGGCGACAACCAUCUGACACCCUUGAUCUCCAAUCAGCCGGGACUACCCGAUGAACUUCAGCAUAUCAAUAAGCGCAGGCU
RNAcentral lists this unclassified non-coding RNA (427 nucleotides) under uncultured fungus. Its description in RNAcentral is "sequence contains ITS2". The stretch from base 1 to 154 matches the Rfam family "5.8S ribosomal RNA". Lineage: Eukaryota; Fungi. The record is from RNAcentral.